GCCCGUAGCUCAGUGGUAGAGCGCGCAAAACAUCACCUCACUUUCGUCGCAGCGUUUUUCUUCCGAGCGAAUGCCGACAGGACUCCAGGUAGAGCAUCCAGCCUUCGGGCUGGAAGGUCCCAGGUUCAAAUCCCGGACGGCGGGCA
Molecule: transfer RNA, 146 nt
Filed under: Planctomycetota bacterium
Lineage: Bacteria; Pseudomonadati; Planctomycetota
Description: Planctomycetes bacterium (soil metagenome) tRNA-OTHER
Source: RNAcentral